UGAACGCUAGCGGCAGGCUUAACACAUGCAAGUCGAGGGGCAGCACGGGUAGCAAUACCUGGUGGCGACCGGCGCAAGGGUGCGUAACGCGUGAGCAACAUGCCCUAUACAGGGGGAUAAUCCAGGGAAACUUGGUCUAAUAUCCCAUAGUAUUUAGAGGAGGCAUCUUCUAUAAAUUAAAGCUUCGGUGGUAUAGGAUUGGCUCGCGUGACAUUAGCUAGAUGGUGGGGUAACGGCUCACCAUGGCUAUGAUGUCUAGGGGUUCUGAGAGGAAGACCCCCCACACUGGGACUGAGACACGGCCCAGACUCCUACGGGAGGCAGCAGUGAGGAAUAUUGGACAAUGGAUGGAAAUCUGAUCCAGCCAUGCCGCGUGCAGGAAGACGGCCCUAUGGGUUGUAAACUGCUUUUAUAUGGGAGCAAUAAGGUCUACGAGUAGACCGAUGAGAGUACCAUAUGAAUAAGCAUCGGCUAACUCCGUG
Molecule: ribosomal RNA, 482 nt
Filed under: uncultured bacterium
Lineage: Bacteria
Description: bacterial SSU rRNA
Rfam family: Bacterial small subunit ribosomal RNA
Source: RNAcentral